UACGAAGGGGGCUAGCGUUGUUCGGAUUUACUGGGCGUAAAGCGCACGUAGGCGGAUCGUUAAGUCGGGGGUGAAAUCCUGGAGCUCAACUCCAGAACUGCCUUCGAUACUGGCGAUCUUGAGUCCGGAAGAGGUGAGUGGAACUCCUAGUGUAGAGGUGGAAUUCGUAGAUAUUAGGAAGAACACCAGUGGCGAAGGCGGCUCACUGGUCCGGUACUGACGCAGAGGUGCGAAAGCGUGGGGAGCAAACAGG
RNAcentral lists this ribosomal RNA (253 nucleotides) under uncultured bacterium. RNAcentral's name for it is "partial 16S ribosomal RNA". It matches the Rfam family "Bacterial small subunit ribosomal RNA", at positions 524 to 776 of the family's 1533-position model. The record is from RNAcentral.